Molecule: ribosomal RNA, 92 nt
Filed under: Tetramolopium rockii
Lineage: Eukaryota; Viridiplantae; Streptophyta; Magnoliopsida; Asterales; Asteraceae
Source: RNAcentral
CCCGUGAGGCGACUUACGGGUGAACAAAUGGAGGAGGGAGUUUCCUGGGGCAAGGGAUAAAAGAAUAAAAAGCGGAAUGUAUUUCGGUUGCG